Molecule: long non-coding RNA, 9343 nt
Filed under: Lactuca sativa (garden lettuce)
Lineage: Eukaryota; Viridiplantae; Streptophyta; Magnoliopsida; Asterales; Asteraceae
Description: long non-coding RNA (LSAT_LNC004152)
Source: RNAcentral
UCGUUUAUGUGAAAGUAUCCCAAAAUAAAGUAAACAGGAAAAUGUACUACUGUAAGUGUUGUCACUGGGUACUAGGACUAACACAACAUCGCAUUAAGCAAAAUAUGUAACCUAAUGAACAUCCGAAGAUUGUCCAAAACAAGUAUUAAUGUAAGUGUCAUCGCUGGGUACUAGGAGUAACACAAUCAUCGCAAUAAGCGAAAGGUAUAACCUAAUGAACAUCCGAAGAUUGUCCAAUUGUCCUCUGUAGCAGCAGCAGGUGGGUGGAAGGGUUAGUCCCAAUCGAUCUACCUAAUAUAAGUAGUAACCUUAGACCUCCGUAGAUGGUCAUCGACCACUGGUGCUAAUCAGUGGGGUUCGGAAUGGUAAGUCCCGCCGAGCUAUCCCAUUGAACCGAGAUAGGAAAGACAAUUUACACAGUAAGUACUAAUAAAUCAUCCUCGUAGUCCUAAGUACAAGUAUCCAGGUAAGUGAAUACAGGAUAAUGCACCUAUGUAAAAGUGUUCCUGUAUGGUAUUCAUGUAUGUGUGUCCAUGUAACAGGUAAGUAUAUGUAAACAUAUUCAUGUAUCAGGUAAACAUCUGUAAGUACUCAUGUAUCAGGUAAUGUACUAGUAUAGACUCAUGAAUGAACUGACUCUUGUGUGAUUCCUUGUAAUAGAAGUAAUGUUUGAUAUCUUCAAAUUAUCCCUAUGAUAAUUUACUGUAAUAUAACUGGUUGAUCAUGUAGGUUUAUACACUCUUACUACUCAAGGGUGUGGGAAACUAAAUGAAAGAUGUAAACUAUAACAUCAAUACAUAUAUAAGAAUAUAAGUGUAUAUGCAUAGUUUAGUUCAAGAAUGUAAAAUGGUUUUGUAAGACAUCUUAUUGGUUUUGAACAAUAAUUAACAAUGAGUUGAUGUCAUUUUAAUAAACAUUUCAAAAGUAAAACAUUUGAUAACAAAGUAUUUUUAAGAUUUAAAACCAUUUCAUGCAUCACAUUUUGUAGUAUGUGAAAUCUGUUAAAUGACAAACACAGUUAUAAAAUACAUAUCAAUGAUUUAAUAACAUGUUUGUUUCUACUUGUAUUCCCCCUUUUAAAGCAUUUAAAAUCAUUUAAAACAUUGAUUAGGGGUAUGAACUCACCUGUAGAUGUUGGUUCGGAUGAACUGGACGGUGUAGGAUUGUUAGGUGUCAAGUGACGACUUGUACACACACUACAAUCCUAAUGAACAUAUAAUCACACAUAUAUGCACUCAAUUAGUCUCAAAUCACUAAUUGAUAAUUUUAAGACAUCCUAGAGAUAAUAAACACUUUAUAUAAGUGUUUUAAGCCCUAAGGAUUGCAUCUAAGUUAUUGUGGGACAAGGCACUUGUGUUUAGGGUUCCAAAGGAGCCCAUAUAUAAGUUUACUCCCCAUAUACCAUCACACAUGGAGUUUACGGUUGUAAACUAUUGAGUUUACAGCCGUAAACUCCCAACCAUGGGUGUAUUGUGUGUUUUGAAGUGCCAAAUGAUUCCUUAAAUUAAUCCAACUUGGUGGUUAAAUUCUUGGAAGGGUUUAAGGCAUAGAAACACUCCUUAGAGGAGUUGACGGCCCUAAGGCCAUUUCCUUUGGAGUUUAUGGUUGUAAACUCCCUUGGAAUGUUGUUUUUGUUGUUUUCAUGCCUCAAGCACAAGCGGUAUAAGUUCUAGGCUUUUAUUCCAAGCAUAUGAAGACCCUUGACACACUUUGGUGCCCCUUUAAUGAGUUUACGGCCCAUGAACCAUGUCAUGGACGUAAACUCACUUUGCAAGGUGAUUCUUAUGUGUUUAAGGCCCUUGAUUUAUUGGGAACAAGUCUAGGUAAAACUCCAAGGCUUUAGGUGCCUUAAAAGCACCAUUUUGAGCUUGAAUUUGGAGUUCACGACCUAAGAUACUCUUGGGCCGUAAACUCCCAAACUUGGGUGAUUCUUGCUUGAUUGCAUGUCCUUAAUACACAUAUAAAUGAGUCUAUAGCAGUACCAUAACACAAGGGUCGGUCUCGACUUUGUUUCGGGAGUUUACCGCCCAAGAACACCUUGGGGAGUAAACUCCUAAAUCUAGUGAUUUAGCCUUCUAAAUCAUGUUAUAAACACAUAUUAAGCUUUCUAACACUACUAGAAAGGGGUACUCACGAUUUGGGAUAAAAACCCGAAGAUCCGUGAGAGAGAAAAUGGCUUUUCUCUAGUUGGAAAUGCGAAUAAUGAAUGAAUUUGGUUCAGAAUUCUAUUUAUAGUCCUGAGAUAUUUUUGGCAGAAAAUAUUUUUAUUCUUGAAAUGAUCUCUAAUAUAAUAGAGUGUUGGAAUAACAGUGUUGCACAAAACCCUAGUGCACCCACUCUCCUGAUAUUUCCUGAAGUGUAAACCCUGAAUUACUCAAACUUACGCGAAAAAGUCUGAAAAUUAACUGUGACUGCUAUAACUUCUAUUGAAGUGAUAUAGUUUGUACAUAAUGGAAAUUUUGGGUUGUCACAUCAUCCCCCCGUUAGAAGGAAUUUUGUCCCGAAAUUAGAAUUUAAGCAAUUAAGAAGUUACAAAUAACUAAGCGAAAAGGUGAGGGUAUUUCAGUUUCAUCUGAUCCUCACGUUCCCAAGUGAAUUCCGGUCCACGGUUUGCGUUCCAGCACACCUUCACUAUCGGGAUACGACUCUGCUUUGUUUGCUUGACCUCUCGGUCCAUUAUCUCUACUGGUUCCUCCACAAAGUUGAGGCUGUGGUUGAUCUCGAUCUCGUCGAGUGGAAUAACAAGAGUCUCGUCGGACAGACACUUUUUCAAGUUCGAGACGUGGAAGGUAGGAUGUAUGUUACUGAGUUCUUGUGGUAGAUUGAGUUUGUAAGCCACAAGGCCCAUUCUCGCGAGAAUCUCGAAAGGCCCUAUGUAUCAUGGAUUGAGCUUCCCACGCUUCCCAAAGCGUAUGAAGCCCUUCCAGGGUGAGACCUUCAGUAGGACUCGGUCGCCCACCUAGAACUCCAAUGGUUUCCUACGCUUGUCAGUGUAGCUUUUCUGUCGGUCUCUAGAGGCUUUCAGUCGUUCACGAAUUUGAACGAUCUUCUCUGUCGUUUCCCGAAUGAUCUUCGGACCCGUGAGAGUGCUUUCGGGAGCUCGAACCUUAGCUAACUAGGUAUCACCCACUUCAGCCCAGCACAUAGGGGAUCUGCAAUUUCGGCCAUAGAGGGCCUAGAAUGGAGCUGCCUUGAUGCUCGUAUGAUAACUGUUGUUGUAGGAAAAUGCAACAAGGGGUAGAUGGGUAUCCCAAGCUUUUUCAAAGUCAAUCACACAGGCACGCAACAUAUCUUCUAAGGUUUGGAUAGUUCUCUCACUUUGCCCGUCGGUCUGUGGAUGGUAGGCUGUAAUCAUGUCCAGCUUAGUUCCUAGGGAACUUUGUACUGACUGCCAGAACCUCGAAGUGAAUCUACUAUCUCGGUCUGAGAUGAUAGAUAAAGGAACACCGUGCAGCCUUACAAUCUCCCUAAUGUAAGUUCUGGUAAGUUUCUCCAUCUUGUCUGUUUCUUUGAUCGGUAGGAAGUGUGCAGACUUGGUCAGUCUAUCGACGAUGACCCAUAUGGAAUCAAGUCCACCCGUCGUCUUGGGCAACUUGGUUGUGAAGUCCAUAAUGAUCCGCUCCCACUUCCAUUCUGGUAUCUCCGGUUGCUGUAAAAGACCGGAGGGUUUCUGGUAUUCGACCUUGACCUUUGUGAAAGUAAGGCAUUUACUCACAAAGGCAGCAAUAUCUGCUUUCAUGUUAGGCCACCAGUAUAACUUUUUAAGAUCCAGAUACAUCUUAUCUGAACCUGGGUGGACGGAAUAACGAGUGUUGUGAGCUUUUCUCAUGACCAAGUCUCUGAAGCCACUUUGUUUCCGUGUCCAGAUCCGAUCCAUGAGGUAUUAGGCUCCGCCACCCUUGGCUUCUAAGUUCUUAUCCAUUCCUCCAAGGGAUUCACCAGCCACGUUUUCAGGUUUCAAAGCGUCGAGUUGAGCCUCCUUUAUUUGCGUGGACAAGUGUGAAUGGAUAGUUAGACUCAUAGAUUUGACUCUACGACCAGUAUAUUCUUUCCGACUUAGGGCGUCGGCUACUACAUUAGCUUUACCCGGAUCAUAAUGAAUUUUGCACUCGUAAUCACUGAGUAGCUCGACCCAUCGUCGUUGUCUCAUGUUGAGCUCUUUCUGGUCGAAAAUGUGUUGUAGACUCUUAUGGUCUGUAAAGAUCGUGCUUUUUGUACCGUACAGGUAAUGUCGCCAGAUCUUCAGAGCAAACACAACUGCUCCUAGUUCAAGAUCGUGGGUUGUGUAGUUAACCUCAUGUGUCUUCAGCUGUCUCGAGGCAUAGGCUAUGACUUUACCUCGCUGCAUCAGAACACAUCCGAGCCCUUGGUUUGAUGCGUCGCAAUAGACCACGAAGUCUUAUAUCCCUUCGGGGAGGGACAGUAUUGGUGCGGUGCAUAAGGCUCGUUUGAGCGGUUGGAACGCUCUUUUUUGUUUCUCUUCCCAGUCAAAGGCUACGCCUUUCUGGGUCAGUGUCGUAAGAGGUUUUACUAUGCGGGAGAAGUUCUCAAUGAACCUGCGAUAGUAGCCAGCGAGACCUAGAAAUUGACGAGUUUCUGUAGGUGUCUUUGGUGCUGACCAGUUCUCGAUGGCCUUAAUUUUGGAAGGGUCCACGUGUAUACCUUCUUCGCUAAUAACAUGGCCCAAAAAUUCGACUCGUCGAAUCCAAAAUUCGCACUUAGAGAACUUCGCGUAGAGCUUCUCCGAUCGCAAUGUUUCUAAGAUUUUACGGAGAUGUUGGCUGUGUUCCUCCUUACUUUGAGAGUAGAUGAGUAUGUCAUCAAUGAAGACGAUGACGAAUUGAUCCAAGUAAGGACGACACACCUUAUUCAUCAGAUCCAUGAAUACUGCAGACGCGUUAGUUAAUCCGAAUGGCAUCACUACGAACUCGUAGUGUCCAUAACGAGUUCGGAAGGCUGUCUUGGGAACAUCCUCCUAUAACACUCGUAGUUGGUGAUAUCCGAAUCGUAGAUCUAUCUUCGAGAAGUAGUUGGCUCCUUGAAGUUGAUCAAAUAAAUCGUCAAUGCGGGGCAAAGGAUAACGAUUUUUAAUGGUAAGUUUGUUGAGUUCUCUAUAGUCGAUGCACAUGCGAAACGAUCCAUCUUUCUUCUUGACGAACAAGACCGGUGCUCCCCAUGGUGAGAAGCUUGGUCGAAUGAAUCCCUUCUUGAGAAGUUCGUUAAGUUGACUGGAAAGUUCCUGCAUUUCAGCCGGUGCCAGACGAUAAGGAGAUUUGGCUACGGGGGUAGCCCCUGGCACUAAGUCGAUUCUAAACUCGACUUGGCGUUGCGGUGGUAAACCGGGAAGUUCUUCUGGGAAUAUGUCGGGGAAGUCGCGUACUUCUGGGAUGUUCUGAAUGUCUUUCAGUUCUUGACUGGUAUCGACGACGUGUGCGAGGAAUGCAUGGUACUCCUUCCGCAAGCACUUCUGGGCUUGAAUGCACGAAAUGAUGCGAAGGCUCGUACUAGGUUUGUCGCCGUAGAUAAUUAAAGUUUCGUUGUUAGGAAGGUUAAGACGAACUGCUUUUUCGAAGCACAUAAUGUCGGCACGAAGAAGACUCAACCAAUCCAUACCGAUGAUAACGUCGAAACAUUUAAUUGGGACUGGCAUGAGAUCUAUCUUGAAAGUAUGGCCAUCUAAAGUUAAGGUACAACCUACGUAUAUGCAGUUUGUACUCUCUGUUUUCCCGUUAGCCAUUUCUACCGUGAAUGAAUUAUCUAAUGCACAUGGUUUUUGUUUAAGCAGGUGUGCAAAUUUGUGACUUACAAAACUUUUCUCUGCUCCACUAUCGAAAAGUAUGCAAGCAUAUGAGUUAUCGAGGAGAAACGUACCAGUAACUAUCGUAGGAUCAGCUACCGCUUCCUCGUGGCCUAGGGCCAUAACUCUCCCUACUCCUCCAACCAUCCCUGCUUUAGGGCAGUUCCUCUUGUAGUGGCCCACUUCGCCACAACCGUAGCAAGCUUGGCCCAUACCGGCGUUAGGAACCUGGGCGGCCUGAGUUGUUGGAGCCUGCCAGAAACGGGCUGUGUGCCCCUUCCUGUUGCAGUUGGUGCAUUGCAUCUCCCUACAAGGCCCGCGGUGGUGGAAACUGCAUUUGUUGUACUUCGGGAGAGAUCCAACAUAAGUUUUUGCUGGUAAGGGGUUCGCAGGGACAACGGGGGUCACUGUGGCAGCAUUGAUGGCCACAAGUUGUUGUCUCUUGGAGGAUCCUUGCGAAGCCCCCUUUUCCUCUUAGACCACCCUUUCUUGUUGUUGUCAGGGUUGGACUUUUGGGGUACAGGUGUAGGGAUUGUUGGGUUCUGAGGUUUCCGGUGAUCGAUGAAAGAUUCUGCCAGUUCCUUGGCGCUAUCGAAGGUAAUAGGCCUGGAAGCGAUCACACUUUACUGGAUCUGGGGCGCCAGUCCCCAGAUAUAUCUCUCUAUCUUUUUGCUCUCAAGAGCAACCAUAUCAGGGCAUAAGUUUUCCAGAUCAUAGAACCUAUUUGUGUAGGUCGUGAUGUCAGAUCCAACCAUUUGAAGACCCUAGAAUUCCUGCUCGAGUUUCUGUACUUCACUUCGAGGACAGUAUUCUUUCAUCAGCAUGUCUUACAACUUUUCUCAACUGAUGGAAUAUGCCACCACCAAAGUCAGAUAGUUAACAUGGCUGUUCCACCACGUUAGUGCUCUGUCAGAGAAGGUACAAGCUGCAAACUUGACCUUGUUGCCCUCCUGGCAAGCACAGAUUUGAAAGACGGAUUCCAUCUUUUCAAUCCAUUGUCUCAACACCAUAACACCCCCAGUUCCAUUGAAGCUGUGGGGUUUGGUGUUCAUGAAGUCCUUGUAGGUGCAUUCCCGAGGGUGUCCAUGGCUUUCGCCGUGGUUCGAGGGAGGUACACCUGUUCCCGAUCCACUAGGGGCAGGAGCGUUGAUUGCUGACACAGCAGCUGCAACUGCUGCUAUGAAAGCUGCCUGGAACAUGUUGGCAUCAAAAGGAUUAGGUGUUUGAAGAGGUUCAGGUGGUGGUGGGGGUGGUGAUAUCGGUGCUUCGUUGUUUGGGUUACGCCUUGUAUUUCUGCGUGGCGGGAUCUUUAACUAUACGUUUAAAAGAUGACGACAUGGGUAAGAAUAAAUGAUUAAUGAACGUGUCUCAUGGACUAACUCCCCAUAGCCCAACAACAGAAGGAAUAGUAUGACUAAAUCAAGAUAACAGUAUUUGGAUAAUAAUUUCCAUAUGAUUAGAUAUCUGUCAAUAAUACUGGAAUUAUAGAUGUAACAAGUUCGGGAAAAAUUGGCCUAGAAGUAGGCCUUACAUCAACCAAGAUGGAAAAUUUUGACAGAAUUAAGACUAGAUCAAGACCUAACAGGUCUAAGAUUUAUAAAGAUAGGAAAUUAGACCAAAUUUUUACAUAAAAUAGGUUAUAUCCAAAAGAUGAGUUGACGAGAUUCUAUCGGCGACGAGAGCUGCUAGCAUGAGUCCUCGAUCGCAACAGUAGACGUUUAAUGUCCAUUAUACGCCUGUCCGACCUUGCUUGCUGAGCUCGAAGUUCUCUAACUUCAGCUCGGGUUUCGGCAAGUUCCCUCUGCAGAUUUGCAUUGCAGACCAGAGUCCUUUCAUGAGCAGACUCAAGUUGGCGAAUGUGGACAGUGUUAACACCAGAGUUGGCGUCAACUUCCAAGACUUCAUUGAUAGUCGCCUGAGCCAUUAUCGAGUUCCAAGAAAUCCUACGCACCAUGAUUGGUAGGACUCUAUCAGCAGAACCUCCUUCGGUGAGGUUGUAGAAACUUCGGUCUCCAUUGUAGGGAAUGGGCUGACCUUGUUCCUGGCUCCAUGUAUUCAUGUUCGUGGCCCACAGGGGUGUGGGUCCUUGAAACACAGGGCGGGGGUUCAGGUUUGGGUUUUGAGCACCUGGGGGUAGGUUGUUGACUUUAGGCUCUGAGUCAGAACUAUCGGAAAAACCCUCAGCAUGGUGAUCAUCCAAAUGGAUUGGCUGAUCAUCUUCUGGUUCUGCCUCUGGCCAACCAACAUUGCCUUGGUUUGGGAAGUACGGGUCGCCAUGAUGAAAUCCAGCCAUUUUAAUCUACGCGAGAAAAGGGAUAUAAGAAAUAGCUAAAAUAGACGAACUAACUAAGAUAAUUACAAUGAGACUAAAUACCCCUAUGGUAUUUCUUAAUGGUUGUGUUGGUAAGUUUUUAGACUUGUUUCCAUAUCACAACCAUUCUUGGGCAUAUGCUAAUCACUCCUCGGACCAGCAUAGUUGAUCAGGCUAUGCCAUUCCUAAGACUGACCAUAUAUCCCCAGGCUUACUUGUGAUAUUCAACAAUCGUAAUACUUUUGUUCUUGUCAUUGUGACACUGAUUUUAGUAUGAAUGCAGGCACGUAUACUUUGUUAAAUAUUUUAUUAUUUAAAAGUAUAACUCUUAGACAGAGUGUUUUAAUCCCAAUGUAUUUAUAGUUAGUAUAUCUUUUAUGGGUUGAUAUACUAAAUUCACUAUAAACAAUGCUCUGAUACCAAUAUGUCACACCCCAAAACCACGAACGGCGGAAACGUUCAGGGGUGGAGGACGUCAUGUACAGUAUCACAACAGUGUAAUAUAAUAAACAAGCAACAACAUCAUCCAUUGCAUUAUAAGUAGAGUUUUAAUACAUGUGUGUUCUUUCAUAAUGUACAACAAUAAAAUGAAUAAUCAAAAUAAGGCGAGUCUUGUCUGUGCUCCAUCUUCUCAAAAACCUGGCCAUCGCACCUGUCUAACUGAUGACCUGAGAAUACAAGUUAUUUUGAAAGCGAGUAUCAGCUUUAAAGCUGGUGAAUUCAUAAGUAUUUAGGUGUCAUUGUCUGGCUUAUGAAAAUCUAUUAUGAAGGCCAUGUAAACCUUUAAUGAAAAUGUUGAUGUAAGUAUGAAAAACCCUAGAAAAUCCCUUGCUUUCUAUAAGUAUGAAAUGUAGUCUUCUACCAAGACCCGAAUGUUUUGUUAUGAUAAUGUAGUCUUCUACCAAGACCCGAAUGUUUUGUUAUGACAAUGUAGUCUUCUACCAAGACCCGAAUGUUUUGUAAGUAAAAUGAUAGUUUUUCCUUUAAUUGUUUAGUACUAAAGUACUUAGUCUAACUCAUCGUUUAUGUGAAAGUAUCACAAAAUAAAGUAAACAGGAAAAUGUACUACUGUAAGUGUUGUCACUGGGUACUAGGACUAACACAACAUCGCAUUAAGCGAAAUAUGUAACCUAAUGAACAUCCGAAGAUUGUCCAGAAAAAGUAUUAAUGUAAGUGUCAUCGCUGGGUACUAGGAGUAACACAACAUCGCAAUAAGCGAAAAGUAUAACCUUAUG